RNAcentral lists this ribosomal RNA (305 nucleotides) under uncultured bacterium. RNAcentral's name for it is "bacterial SSU rRNA". It matches the Rfam family "Bacterial small subunit ribosomal RNA", at positions 333 to 636 of the family's 1533-position model. The record is from RNAcentral.
CUCUGCCUACGGGGGGCAGCAGUGAGGAAUAUUGGUCAAUGGGCUUACGCCUGAACCAGCCAAGUCGCGUGAGGGAGUACUGCCCUAUGGGUUGUAAACCUCUUUUGUCGGGGAGCAAAAGCCGGACGUGUCCGGCUGUGAGAGUACCCGAAGAAAAAGCAUCGGCUAACUCCGUGCCAGCAGCCGCGGUAAUACGGAGGAUGCGAGCGUUAUCCGGAUUUAUUGGGUUUAAAGGGUGCGCAGGCGGAUUUUUAAGUCAGUUGUUAAAGUUUGCGGCUCAACCGUAAAAUUGCAGUUGAAACUGG